Molecule: small RNA, 563 nt
Filed under: Histoplasma capsulatum
Lineage: Eukaryota; Fungi; Ascomycota; Eurotiomycetes; Onygenales; Ajellomycetaceae
Also listed under: 1 other name
Description: hypothetical RNA
Source: RNAcentral
AGCUGGUGGCAGGUGGAGGCCCUCUGGUCCGGAGAAAGCUUCAUCUAAGCAUCUUGUAGUGAUCGGCCUAGUACAUAUUCCAUCACAAUGUAUAUUCGUGUUGGCAGCGAUAUAUAGCAUGCUGUCGCUUUCUCGGCAACCCUCAUGCGCUUGCUUCCGGACCCGGUGCUCGAUCAAAUGGAUAACCUGGUACCUGUCAAACAUAUCAUUCCCAGAGCCCCUGGCCAUAGCCGGCUAAUUGAUUUCGAUUAGUUAUCACAUGAAGAGGGUGAAUCACCGAACACCACAAACAUGAGGAGCAAGCAGCAUGCCUUUGGGAGUGAAGGGGUCCAUUGUAAAAAUAAAUUGCCCGGAUGGUAGCGGAAUAAUCAGGAGAAAGGGGACGAAAGAAGGUUAAUGGAAGCCGAGUUCUUGAGUGGAAAAAAUCAAGGAUCUUAAAACAAUCCAGCAAGCAGUUUUGGACAGUGUUCCGGAGCUGUGUCUUUCGUGUCCUAGUUUAUUCCGAAUUGUGACUUCCACCGUUUUCGCGUUGACGAUCAACUAUGGGUUUCCUUUAGGGGGGA